GUCAGGGUUUGAUCUCAGUCUGACACCACAGUCAAAGUUUUAAAGCUCUGUGCCAUGCUGCCAGGAUUCUUCACUGUUGAAGAUCAAAAGUGGAAGACUGGCAAGGUAAGAUCAGAUAGCCAGAUGCAGUGGUGUGUGCCUGUGGUCCUAGCUACUUGGAAGGCUGAAGCAAAAGGAUCACUUAAGCUCAGGAGUUGUAAGAGAUGGAGACCAGCCUGAGCAACAUAUGGAGACACCGUCUCUAAAAAGGCAGAGGUUGGGGAUGUAUCCUUUUCUUGUUUAGGAGAUGCAGUAUGUUCUGUAGUACGUGUUACUAUGUUAGUAUCUGGUUCGCCUCUUGCACACACAAGGACAGACUGCAC
Molecule: long non-coding RNA, 362 nt
Filed under: Callithrix jacchus (white-tufted-ear marmoset)
Lineage: Eukaryota; Metazoa; Chordata; Mammalia; Primates; Cebidae
Description: lncRNA (ENSCJAG00000071283.1)
Source: RNAcentral